Molecule: ribosomal RNA, 253 nt
Filed under: uncultured bacterium
Lineage: Bacteria
Description: partial 16S ribosomal RNA
Rfam family: Bacterial small subunit ribosomal RNA
Source: RNAcentral
CGUAGGGCGCAAGCGUUAUCCGGAAUUAUUGGGCGUAAAGAGCUCGUAGGCGGUUUGUCGCGUCUGCCGUGAAAGUCCGGGGCUCAACUCCGGAUCUGCGGUGGGUACGGGCAGACUAGAGUGAUGUAGGGGAGACCGGAAUUCCUGGUGUAGCGGUGAAAUGCGCAGAUAUCAGGAGGAACACCGAUGGCGAAGGCAGGUCUCUGGGCAUUAACUGACGCUGAGGAGCGAAAGCAUGGGAGCGAACAGGAUU